RNAcentral lists this ribosomal RNA (165 nucleotides) under uncultured bacterium. RNAcentral's name for it is "partial 16S ribosomal RNA". It matches the Rfam family "Bacterial small subunit ribosomal RNA", at positions 1328 to 1500 of the family's 1533-position model. The record is from RNAcentral.
GGAUUCGCUAGUAAUCGCGCAUCAGCCAUGGCGCGGUGAAUACGUUCCCGGGCCUUGUACACACCGCCCGUCAAGCCAUGGGAGCCGGGGGCGCCUGAAGUCCGGGACCGCGAGGACCGGCCUAAGGCGAAACUGGUGACUGGGGCUAAGUCGUAACAAGGUAUC